CCGAGUUUACAACUCCUAAACCCCUGUGAACAUACCACUUGUUGCCUCGGCGGAUCAGCCCGCUCCCGGUAAAACGGGACGGCCCGCCAGAGGACCCCUAAACUCUGUUUCUAUAUGUAACUUCUGAGUAAAACCAUAAAUAAAUCA
This 147-nucleotide unclassified non-coding RNA is filed under the name soil metagenome. RNAcentral describes it as "partial internal transcribed spacer 1". The record is from RNAcentral.